GUCUAGCAGGCUGAAGGCAGUGAGCAUCCUGGACAGAGCAGUGCUGCAGGCCGAGACCCAGGGAGCUAAAGGUAGCUCUUUGCAGGCUACAGGGAUCUGCAGGCUGAGGCAAGGGCGAAGAGGGUUCUGGGGCCAUGGGAAAGUGGUCCAGGGAAAUCUACUGAGAAGGCAGAGGGGGUGCUGCAAGCAGUGGCCAUCUUACAGGGUCCCUGGGAUGGGACCUUGAAUAGUAGGUGGGCCUGGGUCUUCCACCCCUCUUGCCACUGAGGAAGUGGCUGAACUAAGGAACUGUGACAUUUCCCCCCUCCCCUCCAGCCCAGAAGUGGGGAGCACAGAGUGUGGCACAGCCUGGGGGCUGUGUCACUGAAGAGAACACUGUGGUCCUGGGAGUGAUGUGGGUCCCAGAGCAGAAAUUAUAGUGGCAGUGCACCACCAGAAGAGGGUGCACUGGCAAGAAGAGCUAAUUCCCAUGACAACUGGCAGGAGGUGCCAGAGUGACUGGUGUAAAUCAGGAGUAACAUUACUGAAGCAAAUGGAGUGGCAUUACUGAAAACCAAUGGUCAAGAGAGGGCAGAAGCAGAGGAGGAGGAAAAUUCCACAAGAUGCUCUCCUGGAGUUCCCACUUCCCUCUAAAUUAUUCCCCAGAGGGUCAGAGUUUAUUCUG
This is a long non-coding RNA of Mauremys mutica (yellowpond turtle), 664 nucleotides long. RefSeq lists it as uncharacterized. The record is from RefSeq and is a predicted model, not a curated record. NCBI's taxonomy places the organism in Eukaryota, Metazoa, Chordata, Testudines, Geoemydidae. The transcript is spliced from 3 exons.